This 301-nucleotide ribosomal RNA is filed under the name uncultured bacterium. Its description in RNAcentral is "partial 16S ribosomal RNA". It matches the Rfam family "Bacterial small subunit ribosomal RNA", at positions 509 to 808 of the family's 1533-position model. The record is from RNAcentral.
CAGCCACCACGGGAAUACGUAGGUGGCAAGCGUUGUCCGGAAUUAUUGGGCGUAAAGCGAGCGCAGGCGGUUAGAUAAGUCUGAAGUUAAAGGCUGUGGCUUAACCAUAGUAUGCUUUGGAAACUGUUUAACUUGAGUGCAGAAGGGGAGAGUGGAAUUCCAUGUGUAGCGGUGAAAUGCGUAGAUAUAUGGAGGAACACCGGCGGCGAAAGCGGCUCUCUGGUCUGUAACUGACGCUGAGGCUCGAAAGCGUGGGGAGCAAACAGGAUUAGAUACCCCCGUAGUCCCUGUCUCUUAUACC